Molecule: long non-coding RNA, 5567 nt
Filed under: Callithrix jacchus (white-tufted-ear marmoset)
Lineage: Eukaryota; Metazoa; Chordata; Mammalia; Primates; Cebidae
Description: lncRNA (ENSCJAG00000078552.1)
Source: RNAcentral
UCCCAUCACACUCCCCAGUGGUCAUGAGUUUCCCAAGAGAUCAGACGUGGCCAGCUGCACGCGUCCCACCCUGAAGCCUGUGCACAAAGACACUUCCUAGAGUGGGUGCGGGGGCCACCGGAGACACUGCUUUCUUUCCCAAGUCCCUGUGAAGUGUUUCUGUCUGAGUAUCUGGGUCUGUCAGCCCCUCUCUUCGACCUCGAAGCUCCCUCAGCCUUUGGGGUGGGUCUGCAUAGACCUGCCUGCCGGCAGGGCAGAGCCUUUCCACAAGGAAGGGGCAGCUGCUGAGGGACUGCCAACGUCUGUGUUUUCUUGCUGCACAGAGGGUCACCUGUCACCUGACCAGAUCACUGUACCUGAUGGGCUGCCUGUCACCUAAUGAGGUCACCUGGCACCUGAUGGGAUCAACUGGCACCUGAUGGGAUCAUCUGUCACCUAAUGAGGUCAUCUGUCACCUGAUGGGAUCACUGGUACCUGAUGGAAUCACCUGUUACUCGACAAGAUCACCUGACACCUGAUGGGCCACCAGCUCCCUUUCGGACCCCUUGGCUCCAGGAGGCCGUGGGACCUCAGCACCUUCUGGCUACAACAAUCCGGUAGCCCACGGAGCCGCGCGUCGCCCCCUGGGUGGUGGUGGAAGGAAAGGUCGGGCCCAGCAGCCCGUUGCUCAGCCGCUGAAGGCGCCACCCGGUGGCCGCGAGUGAGCCGGAGGCAUUCGUGUCCGCACUUGGCAAAGUCUGUCUUGGAACUGCUGAACUCGUUUGAAGCUUUUGUGGGAACAUGCAGCUGUUUCCCUAAUCCAGACUUUUGUGAUCAGCAACUCGGCGUCCUCAUGAGUGCAGCCGGCUGGGGGUGACCGGAAGCCUCUCCCCGCUCUGCAGUGACAGAGGGGUGCUGUCCCCAACCCCAGGGGCCUUCGCUUCCUACCCGCUUGUUACUGAAAUCAGGUAACACAUUGCUGAGGUAAAGUGGAAUAAAAUAAAAAGAAGCCACAAAAGCCAAAACCCAAAGCUGUCCCAAGCCUGGUAACACUUGUGAGCGGAGUGGCAGCCCCUCCUGUGGAGCCCUCGGUUCCUGUUGAACGGCAGGAGGAGCAGAAGCUGCUGUGUGCUCCAGGCCUCACCUCAUCCCCAGAAACCGCGCCCCCAAACGGGACAGCAGCAGCCGGAAACCCCAGAGGACCCACCACGGUCACCAGCCAGCCCUGGAAGAGAAAUCUCGCCGGUGUAGACGGCUUCUGUGUUGAUGCACAUGAACGGAGGUAUGUGGCUCUUGUUAGCUUUAAGCCUCUUACCUAAGGGUUUAUUGCCAUCAGCACCUUCUGGCUGAAAUAAUCCCCUAACCCCCUGCUCCGUGUGCCGCCCCCGUAAGGGGUAGAAGGAAAGGUCAGGCCCGCCAAACCUUUGUACGAUGCAUGAUGGUGACCGUGGGUUUCCAGCAUGUUCCGUGUAAUAGAAACAGUGCUUCGUCUGGGAGGGAGGACCUCCCCAGGGCCUCACGCCCGCCCAGCCUCCCAUGCCAGCCUCUCCGUGUCUGGGGGCGAGGUGCGGAGGUGGCCAGAGCGGAGCGUCUAGACGGAGGAGAAAAAAGCACAGCCUACAAAGAAGCUCUUCGUUCUCACUUCCACAGUCUCCUCACUCUUAAAAUCUUUUAAUUUUGAUUAAAAAUAAAAUGAAAAAUUAAACUUUUUAGCUGCCUCGACAGACUUAGCUGAAGUACCAAGCAUCUCGGGAGAAUAUAAAUAUAAAUAUUCAGCCAGCCAAAUACAGUUCAGGAAGAAUGAAGCAACUGUAGGCCAGGUGCUGUGGCUCAUGCCUGUAAUUCCAGCACUUUGGGAAGCUGAGGCGGGCGGAUCACGUGAGGUCAGGAGUUCGAGACCAGCCUGGCCAACAUAGUGAAACCUGUCUCUACAAAAAAUACAAAAGUUAGCUGGGCGUGGUGGCAGGUGCCUGUAAUCUCAGCUACUCAGGAAGCUCAGGCAGGAGAAUCACUUGAACCUGGGAGGUGGGGAUUGCAGUGAGCAGAGAUCAUGCCACUGUACUCCAGCCUGGGCAACAGAGUGAGACUCCAUCUCAGGAAAAAAAAAACAAAAAACAAAAAACGAACAAGGCGAUCGAUUCCACUUCAGAUGAAGCGGCAGGGAUUUUGUUUUAAUCAUGUCUGCAGUUUGCGUAUUUUCACACGUGACGUCUCUGUGGAUCAGAUGGCAGGCCGAGUCCCAGCGCCAGCCACUGAUCUGCCACGCAUUUCCUCCGCGUGCCCUAUGGGUCUGCCAGGGACGGUGCCAGCUCUCCAGCACCGGUUAGAUUUAUCACAGCCGUUUACACAGAGUUAGAAUUAAUCAGGGAAUGUCGCAAAUGUCAGAUCGUUAAAUGAAACGGUAAAAAGUAAAUUGUGGAUUCUGGCAAACAAGUAUUUCAUAAAAUAAGAUCCCUUGAUGAAAGAGCAAUUGCUGUAAAAUACGUACUUUUAUUACCACUUUAAGGGACACAGAUUAGCACUCUAAAAGUUUUAAAUCUGAUAUCCUGUUUGCCACAGACUGAAAUGGAAUUUGAUGUCUAAAAUAUUCCUAAAGGCGGAUUCAACAGUCAAUUAAAAGAUAGCAUUGCUAAGGGCGUGUGUGUGUGUGUGUGUGUGUGUGUGUGUGUGUGUAUUUAACGCAAGUCAGUCGUUCUUUGGAUUUUAAAAGCCUUUACAAAGUGUUUGGUGUGAUAGAUAAUGUGAGAGACGCUGAAAACUGAAGCUAUAAAAUCCAGGAAGCUUUACAAGGAACAGCGGAAUUGGCGUGAGGGGGCCGGGGACCCUUAGCGCUGAGUCCCCCACGCGCGCUCCUGCCGUCGGCAGUGACCAGUGAGCAGACAGUGACCAACAGUCUCAGAAAUUUCCCAAACUCACUCCUGUCUCCUUUCUGCGUUCGGUUCUAAUUGCACAGAAACGGUUUCUGUUUGCACGCGUUCACGCUGCUCACGUGGAACGUGGGUCUCGCUGCGGUGGCCAAGCUGACGGUGUAAGAGUGUGCGGGGACCGAGGCCGGGGCACCCGCAAGGCGCGGAAGCGCAGGGGAAGCUAAGGCGGCGGCAGCCGGGGCGCUGAGUUCAGAUUUUCUUCUCUGUUUAAGCCCCGAGACCCUAGGGGUGGAGGGGAGGAGAGAUUUGAGUACUUUUAAUUAGUUAAAAAUUUCUUUUUAAAAGCUGAUGCUGUUCGAUAAUUAACUUUCUCUAGAUCCUGCUGUUUCUUAAAUGGAAAAUUAAAGGCAAAUGGAAGCGUUGAAAAGAAGCAAAAUCUACGACAAAUGUCUUUUAUGAAAAGCCCACAUAGGCUUCACCAGAAUGAAGCCUCUCCCGCCCGGGGCUGGGGUUGUGUGGGGUGGGGGCUGGGGGUCCCAGCCGCCUUUGCAGGACCCUGGCAGGCUGGGCUCCCCCGAGUCCACUUGGACCCUCCCUCCGCCUUCACACCAGGACCCCAGCCUUGGGGCUCUGAGCAAGGUGGGCGGCUCCCGAGGGAGAAGCUGGGCGGCUGCAGGUGAGGGCUCUGGGCAGGGGACGGGGGGCAGUGGCACCGCCGGGCUUCCUCAUUCCAAAUGCUCUGUCUUCUCCAUUUCACCCACUAGUGUGGGAAAUUCCAUGGUGGGCCCCUGGUCUUGAGGCCUCUGCCAGCUGCAGAAGCUGUGGAAGGAGCGGGACAGGAGUCCUGGAACCCCCAGGCUCUGUCGCAGAGUCAUCAGUCACCCAGUGUCUCCGCCAGGCUCUGCGCUGGCUGUGGGGGUCCCCCGGGGUGUGGUCCGGAGGGCCUCACUCCCCACUCCUCGCCCUGUACCCCUCUCACCCGAGUGUGUCCCAGAUUCCACCUGCCAGAGCCCCGGAUGGUACCAGGUGUGUCGAGGUUCACAUGAGGUCCCGAGGCUGGGACCCCACCAGGGGAUCAGUGCCCUGUGCUCUGGGUGAGGAAGAGGCACCAGAGCUCCCUCUCUCAGCUGCUGGGUUACAGCGGGAAGGUGGUCAGCUGAGCCAGGAUCCGGCCCCGCCAGGAACUGAACCUGCUGUCCCCUCCGUCGUGGACGUCCAGCCCCCAGCAGUGAGUGCCCUUCGAGCCGCCCAGGCUGCAGUCAGCUACGGCGGCCUGAGCUGACCGACGCCCUUGGCCUCGGUGUGUGGGCACACGUGACUGCCUGCGAAGCCUCAGUGUGGACCGGGAGUGUCUGCCCUCUCAGAAAGUGCCACCGACCGGACCCUCCCCGGGGGGUGACAACAGCCCAUUGCCCUCAGGUCUACAGUGUCAGGUGUUGACAUACAUAUGUAUUUGUGUUUUUCUCUAGAAAGGCUGGAAACUCCUGGUUUCAGUCAGCACCGUUUGCUGUGGUGGUGACGCGACCUUUAGUGGUAACUCACUUGAUCCUUAAAUGGUUAAUCCUCGGUGGUCGUUACAGCCCCAUCGUCGGUGUCUGUGUCCGCUGGGCAUGCCUGGCAGGGGCUCGGGGCAGGUGGUGAAUGGAAGCACAGGUGAGUGGAGGUCUGGGGGUGCCUGGCACUUGCGGGGUCUGCCCUGCCACGUGAGUGUGUCCAGGACCCAGUUAGCAUCACCUUGGCAAGCCCCACAGACUUUUCUUUCUUUAUCACCAGCCUUUUUGAGCCGUAAUUCACAUAGAACACAAUCCACGCCUUUAAAACACACAGUUCCAUGAUUUUUAGCAUUCAGUGAUUUUUAUUCUAUUCACCGACAUAUGUAGUCACCACCACAGUCGAUUUAGAGCGUCUUCAUCAGCUCAGAAAGAAACCCCGCAUCUUCUGGUGGUCACGCCCCCAGCCCCCCGCACCCCUGCGGGCCUCAACAGCCACUCAGCGGCUUUCUGUCCCCAUGCAUUCUGGGUUCUGGGCUUUCUAGCCAGUGGGCUAGAAAGUGGCCUCCCUCCUGUCCGGCUGCUCCCCUCCCACCCUGUUUUAAGGCUCACCUGCGUCGUAGCAUGUGUGUGCUUUAUUCCUUUUAUUUUUAUUUGAAGAAGUUGCAGUAAAGGGCCUGGUUCGCUGGUUCGGGCCUGUAACCCCAGCGCUUUGGGAGGCCAAGCUGGGAGGACUGCUUGAAGCCAGAAGUUUGAGACUAGCUUGGGCAACAAAGGCCAGGUGUGGUUAUGCACCUGUAGUCUCAGCUACUUAGGGCGUGGAGGUGAGAGGAUCGCUUGAGCCCAGGAGGUUGAGGCUGCACUGAGCCGUGAUUACCCCCCUACGCUCCAACCUGGGUGACAGAUUGAGACCUUGUCUCAAAAAAAAAGCAUGUACUAAAGAUACAUAACAUAAAAUCUACCAUUCAAACCAUUUGAAAAUAUACAGCUCGGUAGUGUUAAGUACGUUUCAACCAUCACCACCAUCCAUCUCAGAACCUUCUCGUCUUUUCAAAAGGAAACUCUGUCCCCAUGAGACAUGAACUCCUCAUUCCCCUCCCACCAGUCCCUGGCACCCACCAUUCUACCUCUGUGUCAAUGAACUUGACUGCUGUAAACAUUAAUAUCUCACCUAAUUGGAAUCACAGAUAAUUUGUCUUUUUGUGACUGGCUUAUUUUGCUUAACAUAAGG